RNAcentral lists this long non-coding RNA (193 nucleotides) under Phasianus colchicus (ring-necked pheasant). RNAcentral describes it as "lncRNA (ENSPCLG00000001430.1)". Lineage: Eukaryota; Metazoa; Chordata; Aves; Galliformes; Phasianidae. The record is from RNAcentral.
AUGAAUGUCAUUACCUUCAAAAGCCAUCACAGCCUGUGCUGUGUUAGGGUGGCACUGCGGAGAAGACAGUGGUUGGAAAGGAGGGCUGGCAACAAUGAAGUUACACAGAGAUACCAUCAGAUUAUGUCCAGGGCUGGUAGAGGGAGUUCAGCCUCUUGGCACUGCAGACUGUGGGAGCUGGGCAGCCCAUGGG